RNAcentral lists this ribosomal RNA (1550 nucleotides) under Klebsiella variicola. RNAcentral describes it as "bacterial SSU rRNA". It matches the Rfam family "Bacterial small subunit ribosomal RNA". Lineage: Bacteria; Pseudomonadati; Pseudomonadota; Gammaproteobacteria; Enterobacterales; Enterobacteriaceae. The record is from RNAcentral.
AAAUUGAAGAGUUUGAUCAUGGCUCAGAUUGAACGCUGGCGGCAGGCCUAACACAUGCAAGUCGAGCGGUAGCACAGAGAGCUUGCUCUCGGGUGACGAGCGGCGGACGGGUGAGUAAUGUCUGGGAAACUGCCUGAUGGAGGGGGAUAACUACUGGAAACGGUAGCUAAUACCGCAUAACGUCGCAAGACCAAAGUGGGGGACCUUCGGGCCUCAUGCCAUCAGAUGUGCCCAGAUGGGAUUAGCUGGUAGGUGGGGUAACGGCUCACCUAGGCGACGAUCCCUAGCUGGUCUGAGAGGAUGACCAGCCACACUGGAACUGAGACACGGUCCAGACUCCUACGGGAGGCAGCAGUGGGGAAUAUUGCACAAUGGGCGCAAGCCUGAUGCAGCCAUGCCGCGUGUGUGAAGAAGGCCUUCGGGUUGUAAAGCACUUUCAGCGGGGAGGAAGGCGGUGAGGUUAAUAACCUCACCGAUUGACGUUACCCGCAGAAGAAGCACCGGCUAACUCCGUGCCAGCAGCCGCGGUAAUACGGAGGGUGCAAGCGUUAAUCGGAAUUACUGGGCGUAAAGCGCACGCAGGCGGUCUGUCAAGUCGGAUGUGAAAUCCCCGGGCUCAACCUGGGAACUGCAUUCGAAACUGGCAGGCUAGAGUCUUGUAGAGGGGGGUAGAAUUCCAGGUGUAGCGGUGAAAUGCGUAGAGAUCUGGAGGAAUACCGGUGGCGAAGGCGGCCCCCUGGACAAAGACUGACGCUCAGGUGCGAAAGCGUGGGGAGCAAACAGGAUUAGAUACCCUGGUAGUCCACGCUGUAAACGAUGUCGAUUUGGAGGUUGUGCCCUUGAGGCGUGGCUUCCGGAGCUAACGCGUUAAAUCGACCGCCUGGGGAGUACGGCCGCAAGGUUAAAACUCAAAUGAAUUGACGGGGGCCCGCACAAGCGGUGGAGCAUGUGGUUUAAUUCGAUGCAACGCGAAGAACCUUACCUGGUCUUGACAUCCACAGAACUUUCCAGAGAUGGAUUGGUGCCUUCGGGAACUGUGAGACAGGUGCUGCAUGGCUGUCGUCAGCUCGUGUUGUGAAAUGUUGGGUUAAGUCCCGCAACGAGCGCAACCCUUAUCCUUUGUUGCCAGCGGUUCGGCCGGGAACUCAAAGGAGACUGCCAGUGAUAAACUGGAGGAAGAUGGGGAUGACGUCAAGUCAUCAUGGCCCUUACGACCAGGGCUACACACGUGCUACAAUGGCAUAUACAAAGAGAAGCGACCUCGCGAGAGCAAGCGGACCUCAUAAAGUAUGUCGUAGUCCGGAUUGGAGUCUGCAACUCGACUCCAUGAAGUCGGAAUCGCUAGUAAUCGUAGAUCAGAAUGCUACGGUGAAUACGUUCCCGGGCCUUGUACACACCGCCCGUCACACCAUGGGAGUGGGUUGCAAAAGAAGUAGGUAGCUUAACCUUCGGGAGGGCGCUUACCACUUUGUGAUUCAUGACUGGGGUGAAGUCGUAACAAGGUAACCGUAGGGGAACCUGCGGUUGGAUCACCUCCUUACCUUAAAGAA